This 497-nucleotide ribosomal RNA is filed under the name uncultured bacterium. RNAcentral's name for it is "partial 16S ribosomal RNA". It matches the Rfam family "Bacterial small subunit ribosomal RNA", at positions 28 to 507 of the family's 1533-position model. The record is from RNAcentral.
GAUGAACGCUGGCGGCGUGCCUAAUACAUGCAAGUCGAGCGAACAGACGAGGAGCUUGCUCCUCUGACGUUAGCGGCGGACGGGUGAGUAACACGUGGAUAACCUACCUAUAAGACUGGGAUAACUUCGGGAAACCGGAGCUAAUACCGGAUAAUAUAUUGAACCGCAUGGUUCAAUAGUGAAAGACGGUUUUGCUGUCACUUAUAGAUGGAUCCGCGCCGCAUUAGCUAGUUGGUAAGGUAACGGCUUACCAAGGCAACGAUGCGUAGCCGACCUGAGAGGGGGAUCGGGCACACUGGAACUGAGACACGGUCCAGACUCCUACGGGAGGCAGCAGUAGGGAAUCUUCCGCAAUGGGCGAAAGCCUGACGGAGCAAAGCCGCGGGAGGGAUGAAGGUCUUCGGAUCGUAAAACUCUGUUAUUAGGGAAGAACAAAUGUGUAAGUAACUAUGCACGUCUUGACGGUACCUAAUCAGAAAGCCACGGCUAACUACGUG